Molecule: ribosomal RNA, 597 nt
Filed under: uncultured bacterium
Lineage: Bacteria
Description: bacterial SSU rRNA
Rfam family: Bacterial small subunit ribosomal RNA (bases 1-520)
Source: RNAcentral
CCUACGGGAGGCAGCAGUAGGGAAUUUUCCACAAUGGGCGAAAGCCUGAUGGAGCAAUACCGCGUGCAGGAUGAAGGCCUUCGGGUCGUAAACUGCUUUUAUGUGCGAAGAAUUUGACGGUAACACAUGAAUAAGGAUCGGCUAACUACGUGCCAGCAGCCGCGGUCAUACGUAGGAUCCAAGCGUUAUCCGGAAUUACUGGGCGUAAAGAGUUGCGUAGGUGGCAUUAUAAGUGGAGCGUGAAAGCGUGCGGCUCAACCGCAUUAUUGCGUUCCAAACUGUGAAGCUUGAGUAUGGGAGAGGUAGAUGGAAUUUCUAGUGUAGGAGUGAAAUCCGUAGAUAUUAGAAGGAACACCGAUGGCGUAGGCAGUCUACUGGCCCAUUACUGACACUAAGGCACGAAAGCGUGGGGAGCAAACGGGAUUAGAUACCCCGGUAGUCCACGCUGUAAACUAUGGAUGCUAGCUGUGACACACAUCGACCUGUGUCGUAGCGAAGUUAACGCGUUAAGCAUCCCGCCUGGGGGAGGUACGGUCGCGAGAGUAACUAACAAGAAGUAGAGCGNGAGAGUAGCGACGACGACGACGAGGGAGGAGG